This 1535-nucleotide ribosomal RNA is filed under the name Klebsiella pneumoniae. Its description in RNAcentral is "bacterial SSU rRNA". It matches the Rfam family "Bacterial small subunit ribosomal RNA". The record is from RNAcentral. Lineage: Bacteria; Pseudomonadati; Pseudomonadota; Gammaproteobacteria; Enterobacterales; Enterobacteriaceae.
UUGAAGAGUUUGAUCAUGGCUCAGAUUGAACGCUGGCGGCAGGCCUAACACAUGCAAGUCGAGCGGUAGCACAGAGAGCUUGCUCUCGGGUGACGAGCGGCGGACGGGUGAGUAAUGUCUGGGAAACUGCCUGAUGGAGGGGGAUAACUACUGGAAACGGUAGCUAAUACCGCAUAACGUCGCAAGACCAAAGUGGGGGACCUUCGGGCCUCAUGCCAUCAGAUGUGCCCAGAUGGGAUUAGCUAGUAGGUGGGGUAACGGCUCACCUAGGCGACGAUCCCUAGCUGGUCUGAGAGGAUGACCAGCCACACUGGAACUGAGACACGGUCCAGACUCCUACGGGAGGCAGCAGUGGGGAAUAUUGCACAAUGGGCGCAAGCCUGAUGCAGCCAUGCCGCGUGUGUGAAGAAGGCCUUCGGGUUGUAAAGCACUUUCAGCGGGGAGGAAGGCGUUAAGGUUAAUAACCUUGGCGAUUGACGUUACCCGCAGAAGAAGCACCGGCUAACUCCGUGCCAGCAGCCGCGGUAAUACGGAGGGUGCAAGCGUUAAUCGGAAUUACUGGGCGUAAAGCGCACGCAGGCGGUCUGUCAAGUCGGAUGUGAAAUCCCCGGGCUCAACCUGGGAACUGCAUUCGAAACUGGCAGGCUAGAGUCUUGUAGAGGGGGGUAGAAUUCCAGGUGUAGCGGUGAAAUGCGUAGAGAUCUGGAGGAAUACCGGUGGCGAAGGCGGCCCCCUGGACAAAGACUGACGCUCAGGUGCGAAAGCGUGGGGAGCAAACAGGAUUAGAUACCCUGGUAGUCCACGCCGUAAACGAUGUCGAUUUGGAGGUUGUGCCCUUGAGGCGUGGCUUCCGGAGCUAACGCGUUAAAUCGACCGCCUGGGGAGUACGGCCGCAAGGUUAAAACUCAAAUGAAUUGACGGGGGCCCGCACAAGCGGUGGAGCAUGUGGUUUAAUUCGAUGCAACGCGAAGAACCUUACCUGGUCUUGACAUCCACAGAACUUUCCAGAGAUGGAUUGGUGCCUUCGGGAACUGUGAGACAGGUGCUGCAUGGCUGUCGUCAGCUCGUGUUGUGAAAUGUUGGGUUAAGUCCCGCAACGAGCGCAACCCUUAUCCUUUGUUGCCAGCGGUCCGGCCGGGAACUCAAAGGAGACUGCCAGUGAUAAACUGGAGGAAGGUGGGGAUGACGUCAAGUCAUCAUGGCCCUUACGACCAGGGCUACACACGUGCUACAAUGGCAUAUACAAAGAGAAGCGACCUCGCGAGAGCAAGCGGACCUCAUAAAGUAUGUCGUAGUCCGGAUUGGAGUCUGCAACUCGACUCCAUGAAGUCGGAAUCGCUAGUAAUCGUAGAUCAGAAUGCUACGGUGAAUACGUUCCCGGGCCUUGUACACACCGCCCGUCACACCAUGGGAGUGGGUUGCAAAGAAGUAGGUAGCUUAACCUUCGGGAGGGCGCUUACCACUUUGUGAUUCAUGACUGGGGUGAAGUCGUAACAAGGUAACCGUAGGGGAACCUGCGGUUGGAUCACCUCCUU